RNAcentral lists this ribosomal RNA (228 nucleotides) under Phocaeicola plebeius. RNAcentral's name for it is "partial 23S ribosomal RNA". It matches the Rfam family "Bacterial large subunit ribosomal RNA", at positions 44 to 283 of the family's 2925-position model. The record is from RNAcentral. Lineage: Bacteria; Pseudomonadati; Bacteroidota; Bacteroidia; Bacteroidales; Bacteroidaceae.
AGGCGAUGAAGGACGUGAUAAGCUGCGAUAAGUCACGGGGAGGUGCAAAUAACCUUUGAUCCGUGAAUCUCCGAAUGGGACAACCCGAUAUCCUGAAGGGAUAUCACCUCAUCUAGUUGAGGAGCUAACGCAGGGAACUGAAACAUCUUAGUACCUGCAGGAAAAGAAAAUAACAAUGAUUCCCCCAGUAGUGGCGAGCGAACGGGGAAGAGCCCAAACCAUUCAUGU